CACCAAUGGCGAAGGCAGCCCCCUGGGAUAACACUGACGCUCAUGUACGAAAGCGUGGGUAGCAAACAGGAUUAGAUACCCUGGUAGUCCACGCCCUAAACGAUGUCAACUGGUUGUUGGGGGAGUGAAAUCCCUUAGUAACGAAGCUAACGCGUGAAGUUGACCGCCUGGGGAGUACGGUCGCAAGAUUAAAACUCAAAGGAAUUGACGGGGACCCGCACAAGCGGUGGAUGAUGUGGAUUAAUUCGAUGCAACGCGAAAAACCUUACCUACCCUUGACAUGUCCAGAACCCUGCAGAGAUGCGGGGGUGCCCGAAAGGGAAUUGGAACACAGGUGCUGCAUGGCUGUCGUCAGCUCGUGUCGUGAGAUGUUGGGUUAAGUCCCGCAACGAGCGCAACCCUUAUCAUUAGUUGCUACGCAAGGGCACUCUAAUGAGACUGCCGGUGACAAACCGGAGGAAGGUGGGGAUGACGUCAAGUCCUCAUGGCCCUUAUGGGUAGGGCUUCACACGUCAUACAAUGGUCGGUACAGAGGGUUGCCAAGCCGCGAGGUGGAGCCAAUCCCAGAAAGCCGAUCGUAGUCCGGAUUGUUCUCUGCAACUCGAGAGCAUGAAGUCGGAAUCGCUAGUAAUCGCGGAUCAGCAUGUCGCGGUGAAUACGUUCCCGGGUCUUGUACACACCGCCCGUCACACCACGGGAGUCGAUUGGUCCCGAAGUACGUGAGCUAACCCUUUUGGGAGGCAGCGUCCUAAGGAAUGGUCGGUGACUGGGGUGG
This 775-nucleotide ribosomal RNA is filed under the name uncultured bacterium. RNAcentral describes it as "bacterial SSU rRNA". It matches the Rfam family "Bacterial small subunit ribosomal RNA", at positions 707 to 1483 of the family's 1533-position model. The record is from RNAcentral.